CCCUACGGGGCGCAGCAGGCGCGAAAACCUCACACUGUGCGAAAGCACGAUGAGGGAAUCCCAAGUGCUGGCUCGUAAGAGUCAGCUGUUUUUCUGUCUAGAAAACAGAGAGAGUAAGAGCUGGGUAAGACGGGUGCCAGCCGCCGCGGUAAUACCUGCAGCUCAAGUGGUGGCCGCUAUUAUUGGGCCUAAAACGUUCGUAGCCGGUCUAGUAAAUGCCUGGGUAAAUCAUACGGCUUAACCGUACGAAUUCCGGGUAGACUGCUGGACUUGGGGCUGGGAGAGGCUAGAGGUACUCCUGGGGUAGAGGUGAAAUCCUGUAAUCC
Molecule: ribosomal RNA, 326 nt
Filed under: uncultured archaeon
Lineage: Archaea
Description: bacterial SSU rRNA
Rfam family: Archaeal small subunit ribosomal RNA
Source: RNAcentral